This 66-nucleotide transfer RNA is filed under the name Sphingopyxis sp. Root1497. RNAcentral describes it as "tRNA-Arg". It matches the Rfam family "tRNA". Rfam says of the family: Transfer RNA (tRNA) molecules are approximately 80 nucleotides in length. Their secondary structure includes four short double-helical elements and three loops (D, anti-codon, and T loops). Further hydrogen bonds mediate the characteristic L-shaped molecular structure. tRNAs have two regions of fundamental functional importance: the anti-codon, which is responsible for specific mRNA codon recognition, and the 3' end, to which the tRNAs corresponding amino acid is attached (by aminoacyl-tRNA synthetases). tRNAs cope with the degeneracy of the genetic code in two manners: having more than one tRNA (with a specific anti-codon) for a particular amino acid; and 'wobble' base-pairing, i.e. permitting non-standard base-pairing at the 3rd anti-codon position. The record is from RNAcentral. Lineage: Bacteria; Pseudomonadati; Pseudomonadota; Alphaproteobacteria; Sphingomonadales; Sphingopyxidaceae. RNAcentral also lists the same sequence under 1 other name.
CGGCGAAUGCCGGAAAGGACUACACUUCGAAUGUGGGGGUCGCGGGUUCGAAUCCCGCUUGUCCGG